This 427-nucleotide ribosomal RNA is filed under the name uncultured bacterium. RNAcentral describes it as "bacterial SSU rRNA". It matches the Rfam family "Bacterial small subunit ribosomal RNA", at positions 355 to 774 of the family's 1533-position model. The record is from RNAcentral.
UAGGGAAUAUUGGACAAUGGGGGCAACCCUGAUCCAGCCAUGCCGCGUGAGUGAAGAAGGCCCUCGGGUUGAAAAGCUCUUCUGUCCGGAAAGAAAAGCUUCGGGUUAAUACCCCGGGGUUCUGACGGUACCGGAAGAAUAAGCACCGGCUAACUUCGUGCCAGCAGCCGCGGUAAUACGAAGGGUGCAAGCGUUACUCGGAAUUACUGGGCGUAAAGCGUGCGUAGGUGGUUGUUUAAGUCUGAUGUGAAAGCCCUGGGCUCAACCUGGGAAUGGCAUUGGAAACUGGGCAGCUAGAGUGCGGUAGAGGGUAGUGGAAUUCCCGGUGUAGCAGUGAAAUGCGUAGAGAUCGGGAGGAACAUCUGUGGCGAAGGCGACUGCCUGGACCAGCACUGACACUGAGGCACGAAAGCGUGGGGAGCAAACA